RNAcentral lists this ribosomal RNA (253 nucleotides) under uncultured bacterium. RNAcentral's name for it is "partial 16S ribosomal RNA". It matches the Rfam family "Bacterial small subunit ribosomal RNA", at positions 524 to 776 of the family's 1533-position model. The record is from RNAcentral.
UACGAAGGGGGCGAGCGUUGUUCGGAUUUACUGGGCGUAAAGGGCGCGCAGGCGGUUCUGUUUGUCGAGUGUGAAAGCCCCGGGCUCAACCUGGGAACUGCGCGCGAAACGGGAGGGCUUGAGUUCGGGAGAGGAGCGUGGAAUUCCCAGUGUAGAGGUGAAAUUCGUAGAUAUUGGGAAGAACACCGGUGGCGAAGGCGGCGCUCUGGACCGAGACUGACGCUGAGGCGCGAAAGCGUGGGGAGCAAACAGG